UACGGGGGGGGCAAGCGUUGUUCGGAAUUACUGGGCGUAAAGGGCUUGUAGGUGGCCAACUAAGUCAGACGUGAAAUCCCUCGGCUUAACCGGGGAACUGCGUCUGAUACUGGAUGGCUGGAGUGUGGGAGAGGGAUGCGGAAUUCCAGGUGUAGCGGUGAAAUGCGUAGAUAUCUGGAGGAACACCGGUGGCGAAGGCGGCAUCCUGGUCCAUUACUGACACUGAAAAGCGAAAGCCAGGGGAGCAAACGGG
This 253-nucleotide ribosomal RNA is filed under the name uncultured bacterium. Its description in RNAcentral is "partial 16S ribosomal RNA". It matches the Rfam family "Bacterial small subunit ribosomal RNA", at positions 524 to 776 of the family's 1533-position model. The record is from RNAcentral.